AGGAGAAGGAGGAGGAGGAGGAGGAGAAGAAGAAGGAGGAGGAGGAGAAGAAGAAGGAAGAAGAAGAAGGAGGAAGAAGAAGGAAGAAGAAGAGGAAGAACAAGAGGAGGAAGAAGAAGAAGGAAGAACAAGAACAAGAAGAACAAGAAAAAGUGUAACAAAUUGAGGAAGAAGAAAAGUGAUAGAAAAAUAAUAAAAAUCAACCUUUAUCAAGUUUUAUCAGGUAUUUACUACAUGCCAGGUAUUGUUUUAAGUUCUUGUGAUGUGUUGUUUCAUUUUUCUCUCAUUUUAAAGAUGAGGAAAAUUAAACUCAGAGAGAUUAAGUAACUUGCCCUUGAGCAAACAACUGUGAAGUGUGGAGACUCUAGAGGCAAGCUCUACUCUUCCUCUGUAGUGGUAGGAGGAUAGGAUUGAAGGAGUGAAGAAAAAGAUGAGAUGGGAAGCUAAAUUAUGCAUCUUAUUUUAUAUACGUUUCUAUUCAAUUUUGUUUCUUUUUUCAAAGUAAACACUGUUUUAUAAAUAAUACAGAACUGAACCCCAAAAUACAUAAUUGGGCAUUGGAGGAUUAGAACAUCCCUAAUGUUCUAAGUCAGACUUCACAUGCACCUCAAGACCACAUGUUAAACACGUUGGGAAAAUAGAGAUAAAAUGAUGGCCCUGGGAAGAGGAGGAAAGAUAAGUGAAGAGGGGGCAGAUGUUUCUUUUUACCAGGAGCUUCCAAAUCUCACCUCAAUUUUCAGCUAAGGCUUUGUUGACACUGGAUGAAAAUUAAAAGCAAAAUUUAUACUGAAAUGUUUGCCUGCUAAUAUAGUUUGGAUAAAUGUUCCUGCCCAAAUCUCAUUUUGAAAUAUAAUCCCCAGUGUGGGAGGUGGGGCCUCAUGAGAGAUGUUUGGAUCAUGGAGGCAGAUGCCUCAUGAAUGGCUUGCACCAUCUCCAUGGUGAUAAGUAAGCUCUUGCUCUGAGCUCACAUGGGAUCUGGCUUUUUAAAAGUGUGUGGCAUCUUCCCCUCCACUCUCUCUCUUGUUUGCUUCUGCUUUUGCCAUGUGAUGUACCCACUCCCCAGUCACCUUCCUCCAUGAUUUUAAGCUUCCUGAGGCCUCUGGAGAAGCCAAGCAGAUGCCAGGAACUUGCUUCCUGAAAGGCCUGUGGAACUGUGAGCUAAUUAAAUCUCUUUUCUUUAUAAAUUACCCAUUCUCAGCUAUUUAUAUAAUAGCAAUGCAAGAACAGCCUAACGCACAUACUUAGUUAUCUAAGUUGUCUAAAUAAGUUCUUAGUUACCUAAACAAGUGCUUAACAUAAUGGUGUCAUAGAAUAAAAUAAGAGGGGUGAAUAAUUUGUGCAACAUUUAGCUUCUAGAAGCCUUUGGAGACACAAUCCCAUUGGGAUGGGCUAUUUGAGGAAAAUCAUGUUUCUAAGUACAUUAGAUAUGAAUGUAUAUUUAAUAAUGGUCUAUAUUUCUAUAUAAAUCUUAAGAUUCAGGAAAAUGGGGUUUUUUAUGUCAUUGGAACUAUUGAUAAGCCAUUCAAAGCUCAGGUAGAUGAUACUUGGAUUUAGCUGAUUAUUACACUGUUAUAUUCACAAACUAGAUAGUUACUCAAAAAACAAAGUGGUCAGACUUUGAAUAAUAUGUUUUCUCAUGUUUCUGUAUUAUCUAAUGACAUGAAACCAUCACGUUCAUGAGAAAGGUUGCCAAAAGUUGAAAGUUAAAUGAUUAAAGAGACAACUAUUCUGGAUUUUGUUAAAAAAAAUGUAACACGAUUUACAGGUCAAAAUGACAACUGCAAAUCUAACUUUCAAGUUUGUUUGGUUUUUGUGUUAGUUAAAAAAAAACGCACACACACACAAAGUCACCAAGUUAGGCAUUCUAGAGUGCAAAUGUGCUCCUAAAAACCUAAUAGUUGAUCAUCCUGAAGUCUUGAUUGCCUUUCCAAAUCUUUUCUUGAUCUUCAGCAGAGCCUGAACUGAUAUCCAAGAGUAAACCUGAGUACUGCACUGACCUUUCCAAAGUAGAAGCAUUUUGAAACAGAUAGUCAACAAAUGCAAACUACAAUUGUUUAAAGGGAACUUCCCCCUUUAUCCAGUUGGUGGACCUCAAGGACAGCCACGUAAGGAGUGUGUGGAGUUUUGCUCUUGUUGCUCAGGCUGGAGUGCAAUGGCGCGAUCUCGGCUCACUGCAUCCUCCGCCUCCCGGGUUCAAGCGAUUCUCUUGCCUCGGCCUCCCAAGAAGCUGGGAUUACAGGCAUAUGCCACUACGCCUGGCUAAUUUUGUAUUUUUAGUAGAGACCGGGUUUCUCCAAGUUGGUCAGGCUGGUCUCACACUCCCAACCCCAGGUGAUCCGCCCGCCUCGGCCUCCGAAAGUGCUGGGAUUACAGGCAUGUGCCACUGUGCCUGGCCUGAAGUUUAUUUUUUGUUUUUUAACUGUCCUCACCUGUCGCAUAUCUAAAACAGUGUAUUUUAUCUACUCUAUGUUUAUGUAAAGAGUUUUAAAAUUUUGACAGUAGCUUAGAUUUUCGUUGGUAGAAUAUCAAACUUGUUUAGGUUUUUAAGAGAUUGUUAUUAAAUGUUAUUAACUUUAUAAUUAAAUCUUAAGUUAUUUAUAAAAAUUGUGUGCUCCAUAAGUAAUGCUAAGUACAUUCCUGCUCUAUAAGAUGUUAUGUUCCACCAAAAUUUAGAUUUGUAUAUCAAUGCAAAACCAAAUGAUUUUAUUAUCAGUGUUACACUUUUACCAAAAUUUAUAACAAAUAGCUUUCACAAUAACGCCCUGCUUUUUUUGGGGGGGGGGGCAACUUUAUUUACAAAAGUUUUGCUUUGAUUCCAUAAAUUGAAUGAAAAAUAUAGAAUAAUUAUUAGAAUUUAGUGAAUUUUUCUGUUUGAAGCAAUUAAGGACACUGUAUCAUUAGCAAGAAAUUAUACUAAUGGAGUCAAGAAAGAAGAAUUAUUACCUCACUCCUGAACUUUUAAAAGUAAUACUAGAAUCUGAAAAUUGAUUUACAAAAUUUUUAAUCAUAGUCAUUUUAUCUAAAUAAAAAGUAAUGCUUCAUGGAGUGUUACAUAAAUGCA
Long non-coding RNA from Gorilla gorilla gorilla (western lowland gorilla), 3061 nucleotides. RefSeq lists it as uncharacterized. NCBI's taxonomy places the organism in Eukaryota, Metazoa, Chordata, Mammalia, Primates, Hominidae. The record is from RefSeq and is a predicted model, not a curated record. The transcript is spliced from 3 exons.